AUACGGAGGGUGCAAGCGUUAUUCGGAAUCACUGGGCGUAAAGGACGCGUAGGCGGGUUGGCAAGUCAGAUGUGAAAUCCUACAGCUUAACUGUAGAACUGCAUUUGAAACUGCUAACCUAGAGUAUGGGAGGGGGAGAUGGAAUUAGUGGUGUAGGGGUAAAAUCCGUAGAUAUCACUAGGAAUACCGAAAACGAAGGCGAUCUCCUGGAACAUAACUGACGCUAAGGCGUGAAAGCGUGGGGAGCAAACAGGAUUAGAAACCCUAGUAGUCC
This 274-nucleotide ribosomal RNA is filed under the name uncultured bacterium. RNAcentral's name for it is "partial 16S ribosomal RNA". It matches the Rfam family "Bacterial small subunit ribosomal RNA", at positions 523 to 796 of the family's 1533-position model. The record is from RNAcentral.